GGUUCUGUAGUGUAGAUGGUUAUCACAUCGGAUUCUGAUCCCAUCAUCAGUAUCCUUCCGGGAACCUGAGUUCGAGUCUCAGCAGAACCU
Diaporthe citri is the source of this 90-nucleotide non-coding RNA. The record is from the annotation of a RefSeq genome assembly. Lineage: Eukaryota; Fungi; Ascomycota; Sordariomycetes; Diaporthales; Diaporthaceae.